UAGGGAAUCUUCGGCAAUGGGGGGAACCCUGACCGAGCAACGCCGCGUGAGUGAAGAAGGUUUUCGGAUCGUAAAGCUCUGUUGUUAAGGAAGAACGAGUGUGAGAAUGGAAAGUUCAUACUGUGACGGUACUUAACCAGAAAGGGACGGCUAACUACGUGCCAGCAGCCGCGGUAAUACGUAGGUCCCGAGCGUUGUCCGGAUUUAUUGGGCGUAAAGCGAGCGCAGGCGGUUAGAUAAGUCUGAAGUUAAAGGCAGUGGCUCAACCAUUGUAGGCUUUGGAAACUGUUUAACUUGAGUGCAGAAGGGGAGAGUGGAAUUCCAUGUGUAGCGGUGAAAUGCGUAGAUAUAUGGAGGACCACCGGUGGCGAAAGCGGCUCUCUGGUCUGUAACUGACGCUGAGGCUCGAAAGCGUGGGGAGCGAACAGG
RNAcentral lists this ribosomal RNA (429 nucleotides) under Bacteroidota bacterium. RNAcentral describes it as "Bacteroidetes bacterium partial 16S ribosomal RNA". It matches the Rfam family "Bacterial small subunit ribosomal RNA", at positions 355 to 776 of the family's 1533-position model. Lineage: Bacteria; Pseudomonadati; Bacteroidota. The record is from RNAcentral.